GGGGGAACUGAAACAUCUAAGUACCCCGAGGAAAAGAAAUCAACCGAGAUUCCCCCAGUAGCGGCGAGCGAACGGGGAGCAGCCCAGAGUCUGAAUCAGCUUGUGUGUUAGUGGAACGGUCUGGAAAGUCCGACGGUACAGGGUGAUAGUCCCGUACACCAAAAUGCACAGGCUGUGAACUCGAAGAGUAGGGCGGGACACGUGGUAUCCUGUCUGAAUAUGGGGGGACCAUCCUCCAAGGCUAAAUACUCCUGACUGACCGAUAGUGAACCAGUACCGUGAGGGAAAGGCGAAAAGAACCCCGGCGAGGGGAGUGAAAAAGAACCUGAAACCGUGUACGUACAAGCAGUGGGAGCACCUUCGGGUGUGACUGCGUACCUUUUGUAUAAUGGGUCAGCGACUUAUAUUCUGUAGCAAGGUUAACCGUAUAGGGGAGCCGCAGGGAAACCGAGUCUUAACUGGGCGUUAAGUUGCAGGGUAUAGACCCGAAACCCGGUGAUCUAGCCAUGGGCAGGUUGAAGGUUGGGUAACACUAACUGGAGGACCGAACCGACUAAUGUUGAAAAAUUAGCGGAUGACUUGUGGCUGGGGGUGAAAGGCCAAUCAAACCGGGAGAUAGCUGGUUCUCCCCGAAAGCUAUUUAGGUAGCGCCUCGUGAAUUCAUCUUCGGGGGUAGAGCACUGUUUCGGCUAGGGGGUCAUCCCGACUUACCAACCCGAUGCAAACUACGAAUACCGAAGAAUGUUAUCACGGGAGACACACGGCGGGUGCUAACGUCCGUCGUGAAGAGGGAAACAACCCAGACCGCCAGCUAAGGUCCCAAAGUCAUGGUUAAGUGGGAAACGAUGUGGGAAGGCACAGACAGCCAGGAUGUUGGCUUAGAAGCAGCCAUCAUUUAAAGAAAGCGUAAUAGCUCACUGGUCGAGUCGGCCUGCGCGGAAGAUGUAACGGGGCUAAACCAUGCACCGAAGCUGCGGCAGCGACACUAUGUGUUGUUGGGUAGGGGAGCGUUCUGUAAGCCUGCGAAGGUGACCUGUGAGGGUUGCUGGAGGUAUCAGAAGUGCGAAUGCUGACAUAAGUAACGAUAAAGCGGGUGAAAAGCCCGCUCGCCGGAAGACCAAGGGUUCCUGUCCAACGUUAAUCGGGGCAGGGUGAGUCGACCCCUAAGGCGAGGCCGAAAGGCGUAGUCGAUGGGAAACAGGUUAAUAUUCCUGUACUUGGUGUUACUGCGAAGGGGGGACGGAGAAGGCUAUGUUAGCCGGGCGACGGUUGUCCCGGUUUAAGCAUGUAGGCUGGUUGUCCAGGCAAAUCCGGAUAAUCAAGGCUGAGGUGUGAUGACGAGGCACUACGGUGCUGAAGUAACAAAUGCCCUGCUUCCAGGAAAAGCCUCUAAGCAUCAGGUAACAUCAAAUCGUACCCCAAACCGACACAGGUGGUCAGGUAGAGAAUACCAAGGCGCUUGAGAGAACUCGGGUGAAGGAACUAGGCAAAAUGGUGCCGUAACUUCGGGAGAAGGCACGCUGGUGUGUAGGUGAAGUCCCUGCGGAUGGAGCUGAGACCAGUCGAAGAUACCAGCUGGCUGCAACUGUUUAUUAAAAACACAGCACUGUGCAAACACGAAAGUGGACGUAUACGGUGUGACGCCUGCCCGGUGCCGGAAGGUUAAUUGAUGGGGUUAUCCGUAAGGAGAAGCUCUUGAUCGAAGCCCCGGUAAACGGCGGCCGUAACUAUAACGGUCCUAAGGUAGCGAAAUUCCUUGUCGGGUAAGUUCCGACCUGCACGAAUGGCGUAAUGAUGGCCAGGCUGUCUCCACCCGAGACUCAGUGAAAUUGAACUCGCUGUGAAGAUGCAGUGUACCCGCGGCAAGACGGAAAGACCCCGUGAACCUUUACUAUAGCUUGACACUGAACAUUGAGCCUUGAUGUGUAGGAUAGGUGGGAGGCUUUGAAGCGUGGACGCCAGUCUGCGUGGAGCCAACCUUGAAAUACCACCCUUUAAUGUUUGAUGUUCUAACGUUGGCCCCUUACCGGGGUUGCGGACAGUGUCUGGUGGGUAGUUUGACUGGGGCGGUCUCCUCCCAAAGCGUAACGGAGGAGCACGAAGGUUAGCUAAUCCUGGUCGGACAUCAGGAGGUUAGUGCAAUGGCAUAAGCUAGCUUGACUGCGAGCGUGACGGCGCGAGCAGGUGCGAAAGCAGGUCAUAGUGAUCCGGUGGUUCUGAAUGGAAGGGCCAUCGCUCAACGGAUAAAAGGUACUCCGGGGAUAACAGGCUGAUACCGCCCAAGAGUUCAUAUCGACGGCGGUGUUUGGCACCUCGAUGUCGGCUCAUCACAUCCUGGGGCUGAAGUAGGUCCCAAGGGUAUGGCUGUUCGCCAUUUAAAGUGGUACGCGAGCUGGGUUUAGAACGUCGUGAGACAGUUCGGUCCCUAUCUGCCGUGGGCGCUGGAGAAUUGAGGGGGGCUGCUCCUAGUACGAGAGGACCGGAGUGGACGCAUCACUGGUGUUCGGGUUGUCAUGCCAAUGGCACUGCCCGGUAGCUAAAUGCGGAAGAGAUAAGUGCUGAAAGCAUCUAAGCACGAAACUUGCCCCGAGAUGAGUUCUCCCUGAGACUUUAAGUCUCCUGAAGGAACGUUGAAGACGACGACGUUGAUAGGCCGGGUGUGUAAGCGCAGCGAUGCGUUGAGCUAACCGGUACUAAUGAACCGUGAGGCUUAACCUU
Molecule: ribosomal RNA, 2718 nt
Filed under: Klebsiella pneumoniae MGH 30
Lineage: Bacteria; Pseudomonadati; Pseudomonadota; Gammaproteobacteria; Enterobacterales; Enterobacteriaceae
Description: bacterial LSU rRNA
Rfam family: Bacterial large subunit ribosomal RNA
Source: RNAcentral